RNAcentral lists this transfer RNA (93 nucleotides) under Haloplasma contractile SSD-17B. RNAcentral's name for it is "Selenocysteine transfer RNA". It matches the Rfam family "Selenocysteine transfer RNA". The record is from Rfam by way of RNAcentral. Lineage: Bacteria; Bacillati; Mycoplasmatota; Mollicutes; Haloplasmatales; Haloplasmataceae.
GGAAGCACUUACGUAACUGGUGUUCGUACAGGUCUUCAAAACCUUGUUGUGGGUGUAAAAGUCCAUAGGUGGGUUCGAUUCCCAUGUGCUUCC